This 437-nucleotide ribosomal RNA is filed under the name uncultured bacterium. RNAcentral describes it as "bacterial SSU rRNA". It matches the Rfam family "Bacterial small subunit ribosomal RNA", at positions 958 to 1393 of the family's 1533-position model. The record is from RNAcentral.
AACGCCAAGAACCUUACCAAGGCUUGACAUGAACCGGAAAGGCGUAGAAAUACGUCCCCCACUUGUGGUCGGUUUACAGGUGGUACAUGGUUGUCGUCAGCUCGUGUCGUGAGAUGUUGGGUUAAGUCCCGCAACGAGCGCAACCCUCGUUCUAUGUUGCCAGCACGUGAUGGUGGGGACUCAUAGGAGACUGCCGGGGUCAACUCGGAGGAAGGUGGGGAUGACGUCAAAUCAUCAUGCCCCUUAUGUCUUGGGCUUCACGCAUGCUACAGUGGCCGGUACAAAGGGUUGCGAUACUGUGAGGUGGAGCUAAUCCCAAAAAGCCGGUCUCAGUUCGGAUUGGGGUCUGCAACUCGACCCCAUGAAGUCGGAGUCGCUAGUAAUCGCAGAUCAGCUACGUCUGCGGUGAAUACGUUCCCGGGCCUUGUACACACCGA